AAUUAUUGGGCGUAAAGAGCUCGUAGGCGGUUUGUCGCGUCUGCUGUGAAAUCCCGAGGCUCAACCUCGGGCCUGCAGUGGGUACGGGCAGACUAGAGUGCGGUAGGGGAGAUUGGAAUUCCUGGUGUAGCGGUGGAAUGCGCAGAUAUCAGGAGGAACACCGAUGGCGAAGGCAGAUCUCUGGGCCGUAACUGACGCUGAGGAGCGAAAGGGUGGGGAGCAAACAGGCUUAGAUACCCUGGUAGUCCACCCCGUAAACGUUGGGAACUAGUUGUGGGGUCCAUUCCACGGAUUCCGUGACGCAGCUAACGCAUUAAGUUCCCCGCCUGGGGAGUACGGCCGCAAGGCUUAAACUCAAAGGAAUUGACGGGGACCCGCACAAGCGGCGGAGCAUGCGGAUUAAUUCGAUGCAACGCGAAGAACCUUACCAAGGCUUGACAUAUACGAGAACGGGCCAGAAAUGGUCAACUCUUUGGACACUCGUAAACAGGUGGUGCAUGGUUGUCGUCAGCUCGUGUCGUGAGAUGUUGGGUUAAGUCCCGCAACGAGCGCAACCCUCGUUCUAUGUUGCCAGCACGUAAUGGUGGGAACUCAUGGGAUACUGCCGGGGUCAACUCGGAGGAAGGUGGGGAUGACGUCAAAUCAUCAUGCCCCUUAUGUCUUGGGCUUCACGCAUGCUACAAUGGCCGGUACAAAGGGCUGCAAUACCGUGAGGUGGAGCGAAUCCCAAAAAGCCGGUCCCAGUUCGGAUUGAGGUAUG
RNAcentral lists this ribosomal RNA (760 nucleotides) under uncultured bacterium. RNAcentral describes it as "bacterial SSU rRNA". It matches the Rfam family "Bacterial small subunit ribosomal RNA", at positions 549 to 1307 of the family's 1533-position model. The record is from RNAcentral.